Molecule: ribosomal RNA, 253 nt
Filed under: uncultured bacterium
Lineage: Bacteria
Description: partial 16S ribosomal RNA
Rfam family: Bacterial small subunit ribosomal RNA
Source: RNAcentral
UACGAAGGGGGCUAGCGUUGCUCGGAAUCACUGGGCGUAAAGGGUGCGUAGGCGGGUCUUUAAGUCAGGGGUGAAAUCCCGGGGCUCAACCCCGGAACUGCCUUUGAUACUGGGUGUCUUGAGUCCGGAAGAGGUGAGUGGAAUUGCGAGUGUAGAGGUGAAAUUCGUAGAUAUUCGCAGGAACACCAGUGGCGAAGGCGGCUCACUGGUCCGGUACUGACGCUGAGACGCGAAAGCGUGGGGAGCGAACAGG